This 669-nucleotide ribosomal RNA is filed under the name Enterobacter asburiae. RNAcentral describes it as "bacterial SSU rRNA". It matches the Rfam family "Bacterial small subunit ribosomal RNA", at positions 68 to 729 of the family's 1533-position model. The record is from RNAcentral. Lineage: Bacteria; Pseudomonadati; Pseudomonadota; Gammaproteobacteria; Enterobacterales; Enterobacteriaceae.
GGUCAACCGAUAGCUUGCUCUCGGGUGACGAGCGGCGGACGGGUGAGUAAUGUCUGGGAAACUGCCUGAUGGAGGGGGAUAACUACUGGAAACGGUAGCUAAUACCGCAUAAUGUCGCAAGACCAAAGAGGGGGACCUUCGGGCCUCUUGCCAUCAGAUGUGCCCAGAUGGGAUUAGCUAGUAGGUGGGGUAACGGCUCACCUAGGCGACGAUCCCUAGCUGGUCUGAGAGGAUGACCAGCCACACUGGAACUGAGACACGGUCCAGACUCCUACGGGAGGCAGCAGUGGGGAAUAUUGCACAAUGGGCGCAAGCCUGAUGCAGCCAUGCCGCGUGUAUGAAGAAGGCCUUCGGGUUGUAAAGUACUUUCAGCGGGGAGGAAGGUGUUGAGGUUAAUAACCUCAGCAAUUGACGUUACCCGCAGAAGAAGCACCGGCUAACUCCGUGCCAGCAGCCGCGGUAAUACGGAGGGUGCAAGCGUUAAUCGGAAUUACUGGGCGUAAAGCGCACGCAGGCGGUCUGUCAAGUCGGAUGUGAAAUCCCCGGGCUCAACCUGGGAACUGCAUUCGAAACUGGCAGGCUAGAGUCUUGUAGAGGGGGGUAGAAUUCCAGGUGUAGCGGUGAAAUGCGUAGAGAUCUGGAGGAAUACCGGUGGCGAAGGCGGCCCCC